UCCCUGGUGGUUCAGAGGCUAAGACUCUGUACUCUUAUUUCAGAGAACCUGGAUUCAAUCCCUGGUCAGGGAA
Molecule: transfer RNA, 73 nt
Filed under: Capra hircus (goat)
Lineage: Eukaryota; Metazoa; Chordata; Mammalia; Artiodactyla; Bovidae
Also listed under: 1 other name
Rfam family: tRNA
About the family: Transfer RNA (tRNA) molecules are approximately 80 nucleotides in length.
Source: Rfam by way of RNAcentral